Molecule: ribosomal RNA, 834 nt
Filed under: Triticum aestivum (bread wheat)
Lineage: Eukaryota; Viridiplantae; Streptophyta; Magnoliopsida; Poales; Poaceae
Description: partial small subunit ribosomal RNA
Source: RNAcentral
AUGGCCAGCCUUGCCAGAGUCUGUUCCCUCCUGCUUGUUGGCGUCGCCGUCGUCCUGCUCCUGCCGGGCACGUACGGGUCGUACAGCAACUGCCCGCCGGGACAUGGCGGCGGCGGUGGUGGUGAUCCCGGACACCACCAUCCGCCCCACCACGGCAAGCCGCCCAAGCACCACCACGGCCCACCGUCGGGCCACAAAUGCCCGCCGUGCCACCCGCCGCCCACGCCGCGGCCACCGCCGACUCCGCCGUACGGGCCUCCCACGCCACUGCCACCGCCGUACGUGCCGCCCACGCCGCUCCCACCGCCCUACACCCCGCCGACGCCACCGUACAUUCCACCAAGCCCGCCGUACGUGCCACCGACGCCACUUCCACCGCCGUACGUGCCACCAUACGUCCCGCCGACGCCGCCAUACACUCCGCCCUACGUCCCGCCAACUCCACCAUACACGCCGUCGCCGCCCUACGUGCCGCCGACACCGCCAUACACGCCGCCCUACGUGCCGCCGACACCGCCCUACACGCCGCCCUACGUGCCGCCGUCGCCGGGGCCGGGGAGGAAGACGUGCCCGAUCGACGCGCUGAAGCUGAACGCGUGCGUGGACGUGCUGAGCGGGCUGGUGCACCUGGUGAUCGGGCGGGAGGCGCGGAGCAAGUGCUGCCCGCUGGUGCAGGGGGUGGCGGACCUGGACGCGGCGCUGUGCCUCUGCACCACCAUCCGGGCGCGGGUCCUCAACAUCAACAUCUACCUCCCCGUGGCGCUCCGGCUGCUCAUCACCUGCGGCAAGCACCCGCCCAACGGCUUCCAGUGCCCCACCGUGCUCGACGCCUAG